GUAAGCAUAUAUAAUCUAUAUCAAUAUACUCCUAAAAUUUUCCAUUAACUUACCUACUAAUAAUAUUCUUAAAUUGUUCAGUACCUUAAAUCAAUUGCUAUCUACCUAAUAAUAAUAUAUAUAUAUAUACACAUAUAACUCUACUCAGCAAUUUAAGCAGUUCUUCACGAUUGCUUAAAUAGAGCAACAAAAGUUUGGAAUUAAACACAACUUGGACCUCAUAUAUGCUUCAAAUGUAGAAAAAGAGUAAAACCCUAAAAUGAUUUUAUCAAAAUCCUACAGCAUCAAAAAUAAAAUAAAACCCUAGAUCCGAGAUAGUGAAAUGGGGAAAUAGAGGAAGAGAGAGAGAGAGAGAGAGAGAGAGAGAGAGAGAAACCUGAAUGUGGCUGGGAGGGGGGCC
Camellia sinensis is the source of this 400-nucleotide non-coding RNA. Lineage: Eukaryota; Viridiplantae; Streptophyta; Magnoliopsida; Ericales; Theaceae. The record is from RefSeq and is a predicted model, not a curated record.